RNAcentral lists this long non-coding RNA (6539 nucleotides) under Sus scrofa (pig). RNAcentral's name for it is "lncRNA (ENSSSCG00040002833.1)". Lineage: Eukaryota; Metazoa; Chordata; Mammalia; Artiodactyla; Suidae. The record is from RNAcentral.
UCAGUGGGUUAAGGAUCCGGCGUUGCCGUGAGCUGUGGUGUAGGUUGCAGACGCGGCUCGGAUCCCGCGUUGCUGUGGCUCUGGCGUAGGCCGGUGGCUACAGCUCCGAUUCGACCCCUGGCCUGGGAACCUCCAUAUGCCGUGGGAGCGGCCCAGGAAAUAGCAACAAUAACAACAACAACAACAAAAGACAAAAGACAAAAAAAAAAAAAAAAAAAAAAAAAAAGAGUGUCUGAGGGUACCUAUUACCUCAUAUCUUCACCAACACUGGGGUUCAACACGCUUAUUGAUGAAAAAUAGGUUUAUUUGCUGUAUUAACUAGGACUCUGUAAAUGACAGGACUUUAGUUUGAUUUCGCUUCAAGAAAAGAGGAAUACUUACUGGCUCAAGUGUCAACACCAAGGGGAUGGUAGCGAUUGAGCUGGACACCUGCAAUCAGAGAUACUGACCCCAGCCGUUAGCUCCCCAACUCUUGGCCUUUCAACAUGGCACCCAACUGUAUUGGCUUCAUUCUCUCCCACUGCUGGCCGGGGAGGGAGGCCGUGGAGUUCUAGACCCGAGACCCUCAGGACAUGAACAGAGAUCAAAGUCUCCUCCCUUCCGGUUCCCAUUAAGGGGGAGAAUCAGAUGCAUCCAGCGGUGGUCAGGUGCCCAUCCUGGUGCCACGUGAGGGUCAUUACAUGGUUGAGCGGGGGUGUUUCUGGCAGAAUUGUUCACUCUCCUGUGCAGGCAGAACAAUACGUGUGACCACGUUUACCUCUGCUCGGCAAAUAGUAGGAGGCAGCAUCUCUAAUGGCUUUAUUGUCCAUUUCUUGUUCACCUUCGGUGACUUGUCCAUUCCGCUAUUUCGCUCAUUGUGUGACUGACCACAUAGCAUGGACACAGUGACAAAUCUGUGAGCCACGCGCUUGAACAAGGCAUCCUCUGUUUCUCAGUCUCGAGGGAAUUCACACCUGACGGACCAGGAGACUGGUCUCCAGGGGUCUCAUGACUCUCCCUGUUGGUGUUCUUCUCCUGUGGGGCUGGGGGCUCCGAGUAAGUCACAAUUGUCUAAGUAUCAGGCUAGGAAGGAUGUGCUCAAUUAUAUGCAGGUGAGCUCCCCAGCAAGGGACUUCUGAGCCUUUUCAGAGACGAAAAUGAAGACAGCACCCUAGGAGGAGGUGAUUAUCCUCCACAAAGCUCAGCUCAACUGUAGAGGGAGCCGUGUUUGUGAGACCGCUGGUUAAAAUGACCAGGGACAUAGUUAUUACAGCAGCUUCGAGGGCUGAUGCCACCAGCUGGAGUUACACGAUUUAUAAGCAAUGAUGCUGAAAGCUCCAGGUUCCUCACCUGAAAAAUGACUAAAACAGAGCAGGUAAUGCCAAGUGUGUCUUUCUUUAGAGUUAGUGCCAUCUGCCUCUAAUGCAUGACGGGCUCUCCAGCAUCCUCAGGCCCCCCUGCCCGCCCUUCGGGCAGUGGGGGCGGGGGGAGACUGCUGAAGAUCUCUUCCUGCAGAAGGUCUCAGCUUUCACCCUCUCCUGUCCGCCCCUCCCCAUUACACCUGCGGCUCCAUCUCUCGUGUGGUUCCCCCCUCCCCCUCCCCGGGUCUUAGGCACUUUCUGCCCUUGACAGACACCCCCGGGGCUGUGCAACUCUUGGCUCUAGGAUGUAAAGAGGAACCAUCUCUGGUACUCUGGGCCCACUUCUCUGUGCAGAAGCCGUUGCUUUGUUGAUUUUUUAUUUAUUUCUUUUUUGGCUGCCCUGUGGCCUACGGUGUUCCUGGGCCAGGGAUCAGACCUGAGCCUCAGCUGCAGCAACGCUGGAGCCUUAAUCCGCUGUGCCCAGCGGGGACUGAACCUGCUGCCCAGCCCUCCAGAGAGGCCGCCGAGCCUGGGAAUCUACGCUUCAAUGUUCUGUUGUGUGGGUUCCCAAUGGGAUCCCCUAAGGAGAGGCAGCAGUCAAACAGUUUCCCACUCACGAGCCACAAACUGGGGGUGGAGAGGGCUUCUGCUGGGGUGGGCGGCUCUCCUGGGGGUGUGUGGGUGUCUGGCUCUCUGCUCGAAGGGCCGGGCAGCGGAAGAAUCUCGCGCCUAGUAACUCUCAAGACUGCACUGUUACAAUCCACCGUAACGGGGUCGGAUGCUAGGGCUGACUGCCGCCGACGCCCCCACUAAACGGUUGUAACAGUGGGGGAGUGUGUGAGCGAGGGGUUACCGUUACCUUAAUUAUUGGCGAGUCUUGAGAAAUUAAUCAGUGUCCCAAUGAUUGUUUACCUUAGGCCCUAUAAGAACCGAUCCCCGCCUGGUUGGUGUGUCCAGCUGUUCACAGAUGUUGAAAGCAGCCACCAAGCAGACCUUGGGGUCUCAUGGAAGGUGGAGCCGAGGAUAUCUUCCUAAUGAGGUGUAACUGGGCAGAAAUGUGGUUUCCACCCCAAAUUCAGUUUAAUCCGUGACCUCUGUUUGCUUGGGGAAGAGGCAGUUCAAAAAUAUAUUGUGACUUCUGUAGUCCUUUGAAAAAGGUGAUGGGUUUCUUCCCAGAUGAAAUGAUCGGUUCCUUUACCUGGAAAAUAUGGAUGCGAUACUAUGGCCUGGGUUUGGGGAAGAACCUGCUGUAUUUCGUCAUCUGAAUAAUGUAAUAGCAUCUAAUUAUUCUCUGACAAUAAGGAGAUGCACAUUUGUCCUCCAGUUUCUUUGUCUCGAUUCUUUUUACCCACAGGCUUCUUUAUCUUAAUGAUUUCGCCGUCUUUGUGAGCAGAGGCGUUGCCACCCCCUGGUGACCCCAGACCAGGACUCGCUCAUCCAUCCAUCCGUUCAACAAGUGUUUACUGAAAACCUACUAUGCGUCAACUGUGUUAGUUGGGCUCACUUCAGAGCAGGGCCUGGGGCAAGGGUGGGAGUGCAGGGGUUUAUCUGUGUGGUCACCCCAGGAAGUGGUGGGGGAGGGGCAUGUGAAACAGGGAGGAGGGGGAGCCCAUGGAGGCCCCCUGGAGAAAGAAACGUCCCUGAGCAGGACAGGAGGGCCAGCUGUUUAGUCCUGCCUCUCAUUGGUUGAGAGUGACCCCUGGGGACACUGCCUUGAUUGCAUACCUCCAGCAACCUCAUAAAUAAAAAGAAGCAGUUCCUUGAGAUGGGAGCUCUCAGCUUGCAGGGACCUAGUCCGGGUUAUGUGGGGCCACUGAUGGUGUCUGCUCUGCCACCUCGGUCUCCUGCUAGGGACACAGUGAUGCCCAGAAUGGUACCUUCUCUGCUUUCAUAUAUGGGGGAAGAGAGACGUUGAACAAACACGUGCGUUGUACUUGGACGUGUGAUAAAUGCCUACAGAAGUUCAGAGUAAGUUCACAGUGGGGAGAAUGACCUUAUCUGGGGAUUAAGAUGAUUUCAAAUCCCAAAUAAUGAAGUCUGAGUGCAUGAUUUAUCGAGGUUACAUACUAUAAGAAAAGAUUUAUUUACCUGCUCUAAGACAAGGUUUAAACUUGGUGUCGUGACGAAUUCCUAGCACUUUUUGUGAUCAUCCUAAGAGCUAUCAACAUAUAGAGAACACCAAGUGACAGACAGAUUCUGUAAUCGUUGGUGGUUCUGGCAGCCCGACUGUGGCUAGAUGGGAACUACUGCGCGCUUAAGAUGGAAUGAUUUACAUGGAUAAACAUGGAUACUUUCAAAAAGUACAUGGAUGCUUUUAACAAGUAUCAUUUAUUUUCUAAUUAUAGGAAUGACAUAGGUUUACUAGAGAAAAUAAGAAAAUGCAUAUAAUAUAUAGUAUGUAUUAUGCAUACUGCUUAGUACAUACAGUAUAUAUAAUAUUUAUUAUAAAUAGUAAAUAUUUGGUUAUAAAUAAUAGUGGUGAUUAUAUAUGUGUGUGUGCACAUAUAUAUAAAUAUAUAUAAAAAUAUAUAUGUAAACUCACACCAGAGCAAAAUGGAUUGUUUAAGGGUUACUUCCUUCCAAUUCUUUUUAUUAGCAUGUUUUUUCUAAGUCUUUGAGUCCUCAAUUUACUAUGCAGUUUGUCUUAUCCUCGGAUAUUCCUGAAAACGCAUGACGUAGUAAGUUGUAAAUGCACAGAGGUGCAGAAUUGAGUCACAUACGAAUUGAGUCAAAGAGUCUAGCCAACCAACUAACCCACGAGUAAGCUCAUUUUAUGAGAAACGUUCUGUUCUCUGUAAACCUGGGGAGACGCCAACAUUUCCAGGCCUCCCGUCCCUUGCAAACAUCAUAGACGUUGUCACCUGUGAAAAUCAAGGUCACGUGUAUGUUUUUGUCAUAUAUUUAUUGAAAUUAUACCAGCUCUGCAGUUUUACACCCUAUUUUAUGUAACACUUUUUUUUUCAUGCUGAUAAUUUUCUAUGGCCAAAUGAUAUUCUACAGCAUGAAUAUAACAUAAUUUGCUUUUAUGUCCACUUCUACUCUUGGAAUGUAAGUUGCUUCCAGGCCUGUGUUGUUAAAAUCAAUACCGCCGUGACUUUCUUGAGAAUUAACCUGUGUCUGAAUUUUUGAAAAUUUCUUGGCAGAGCUAUCUAAACUUGCGAUUUCUGGGUCAAAGAGAAUGAAGAUUCUGAAGGUGUCUGCAAAUGGUACUUGUUAAAUGUGGUCCAGUUGCUUUCCUGAAACGCUGAAAUAUGGGUCAACAUUUUUAAAAACAUUGUUCACCCUCUUCAAUUAUAUUGAUUAAUGUUUUGUCAAAAUAAUCAAUCUGGUUGUGUGCUCAGAGCUUUCCGAUGCUUUUUCACUGUAAAAGAAAUAGGAAUUCAUUAAGCGAUGGUGGGAAAAGAGGAUGAAAAACAUUGCCUUAGCUUCACUCUGCCACGUACACCACCAAAGUUUUGUAUAUACUGAAUAUAUUUUAAUACACCUUCUGCUUUGCGGCUUUCUUUCCUUCUUCCUUCCUCCCUCUUUCUUCCUUUCUUCCCUCCUUCCCUUCUUCCUUCCUUCCUUUCUUUCCCCCGUGGUCACACACGCAGCAUUUUGGAAGUUCCCAAGCCAGGAAGAGAAGCCGAACCUCCAAAGUGACCCGAGCCCUGCAGUCAGAUUCUUAACCCACGGGGCUGCAGCAGGAACUCCCUGUUUUUCUUUUUCGGGGGGUAAGUCCCCAUUCCUUUGGAUCCCUGUGCAUGAGCCUGUUGUUGAGUCUGUACAGAGAAGCGUGUACGUGUGUGAACACAGGCCCGUGGCCGGCAGGAGGGUGGACGUUUCCCCCAUUUUUUGCCUUCCAUUGUCGUUAUAUUUUUCUGGGAUUAUUCUCAAAAGCCAGGACGUUGAAGGUGGUUUCAGGAUGGCUGAUUUAUCUCCUCACUGAGAUAAUUUUUGAAGACUUAACAUACCACCCAGAGCAUGGAAGCCUUGGGGAGGAAUCUGGUUUUGGAAGAGCUUUUCAGAGUGUUUUUCAAACUCCAGAGAAGAUGAGUUUGGCCCGAGAAGGUGUGUUGCCUCCGACGUGAUCCUCUUUCAGGAAGUGAAGCCGGCCUUUUGACCACACGAGCUUGGAGACUCGGGGUCUUGUGUAACCACUUCUCUCAUCUCAGAUCAGAAGGAGGGGAGGAGAGGAGGCCUUGCUCCCACUUAUUUACCCAAUUCUAUCAGGUCGACCGUUGGAACUAAUGGGUCGAUUAGGUCAAACGGUUGACCAGUGCAGGUUAAACAAGUUACUUGCUUUUAAAAAAAAUAAAUAAAAGCAACGUCUUUUCUUUGUAAGCACUCAAUUGACAUGAAAUUCCUGCUCCUCCUGUGUUUGUGGGGUGUGGACGGGCAGCUGAGGCGGUCGGGACAGAGCAGACACGAGGACAAAAGAGGCUGAUAACACUUGGGGACUGGGCUGACCGAGGGGUCAGGAGCCAGAACAGCAGUUUGAGAUCAAGGGACGUAGAUAGCAGGGGGCGAGGCUCCUGCCAGCCAGUGGUCACUGAGAGUGGCAGGGCUGCCAGACCCCGGGGGGUGGGCUAGGCACCCAGCCACCCUGCAGGGAGGGCUGCUGGCUGAGGUCACUGCCUGCCCAUCCCAGCUGCCCUUCGUCCCCUCUUCCCAGGUGAGAACCAGCCCUCCCUGGGUUCUGCCUGGGACCCCGCAGGUACAAAAAACUCAAAGUGGCUGGUGGGGGGAAAUGCAGGGUAGAGGCAGUGGCUGAUGCUGCUUCGGGAAAGAAGGACCUUUAUGAACUCCUGUCCAGGCCAUGUAACGUUUUCAGGCCAGUUUGCUUCUCCCUGAGAGAAGAGGUAGCGUCUCAGAAGCUGGGUUCUCAGUGUGUGAGAGGCUCCUCGUCCAUGUUCCAUCAAACCUAAGUGAACCAGAGAAAGAAAAGAAAAAAAAGGUAGCAGAAGACAACUUCUGACAUGUGCGGCUGUAUUUUAAUUACUUAGUUAAUUUUUAAAAGUGAUAUUUGGGGAGUUCCCAUCGUGGCACAGCGGAAGCGAAUCUGACUAGCAUCCAUGAGGACACAGGUUCGAUCCCUGGCCUCGCUUAGUGGGUUAAGGAUCCUGCGUUGUUGUGGCUGUCGUGUAGGCCAGCAGCUACGGUUCCGACUUGACUCCCCAGCCUGGGAACCUCCAUAUGCCGCGAGGGUGGCCCUAAAAA